UAGGUACAACAGAUGAUAGCUUGAAAUUUUCAAGAGGAAAGUCCAAGCUGCAGUGAAGUAUGGUUCCAUCUAACGGAUGGCUAGGGCAACCUAAGGGAUAGUGCAACAGAAAGUAAACUACCCUACUUUUGGACAAAGAUAGGGAAAAGGUGAAACGGUGGAGUAAGAGCCCACCAGUGCUUUGAGUAAUCUAAGCAGCUAUGUAAACCCAACCAGCAGCAAGAAAAGAGCGGUAUAAACUUCACAAUUUUUUCUUUUCGCAUGACUGACUAUGUAAAUUGUCAGCUAGAUAAAUUAUCAUCCAAUACAUAACUUGGCUUAUAGUUGUACCUACAUU
Molecule: RNase P RNA, 337 nt
Filed under: Campylobacterales bacterium
Lineage: Bacteria; Pseudomonadati; Campylobacterota; Epsilonproteobacteria; Campylobacterales
Description: RNase P RNA component class A
Rfam family: Bacterial RNase P class A
About the family: Ribonuclease P (RNase P) is a ubiquitous endoribonuclease, found in archaea, bacteria and eukarya as well as chloroplasts and mitochondria. Its best characterised activity is the generation of mature 5'-ends of tRNAs by cleaving the 5'-leader elements of precursor-tRNAs.
Source: RNAcentral